Molecule: ribosomal RNA, 463 nt
Filed under: uncultured Acidobacteriota bacterium
Lineage: Bacteria; Pseudomonadati; Acidobacteriota
Description: bacterial SSU rRNA
Rfam family: Bacterial small subunit ribosomal RNA
Source: RNAcentral
GAGGGGGUCGCGGCUGAUUAGCUAGUUGGUAGGGUAAUGGCCUACCAAGGCGAAGAUCGGUAUCCGGCCUGAGAGGGCGCACGGACACACUGGAACUGAAACACGGUCCAGACUCCUACGGGAGGCAGCAGUGGGGAAUUUUGCGCAAUGGGGGAAACCCUGACGCAGCAACGCCGCGUGGAGGAUGAAGUCCCUUGGGACGUAAACUCCUUUCGACCAAGACGAUAAUGACGGUACUGGUGGAAGAAGCACCGGCUAACUCUGUGCCAGCAGCCGCGGUAAUACAGAGGGUGCGAGCGUUGUUCGGAAUUAUUGGGCGUAAAGGGCGCGUAGGCGGCGCGACAAGUCACCUGUGAAAUCUCUGGGCUCAACUCAGAGCCUGCAGGCGAAACUGUCGUGCUGGAGUAUGGGAGAGGUGCGUGGAAUUCCCGGUGUAGCGGUGAAAUGCGUAGAUAUCGGGAGG